This 736-nucleotide ribosomal RNA is filed under the name uncultured bacterium. Its description in RNAcentral is "bacterial SSU rRNA". It matches the Rfam family "Bacterial small subunit ribosomal RNA", at positions 9 to 742 of the family's 1533-position model. The record is from RNAcentral.
GAGUUUGAACCUGGCUCAGGAUAAACGCUGGCGGCAUGCCUAACACAUGCAAGUCGAACGGAGCGCCUUGGAAGGAGACUUCGGUCAACGGAAGAGGAGGCUUAGUGGCGGACGGGUGAGUAACGCGUGAGGAACCUGCCUCAGAGAGGGGGAUAACACACCGAAAGGUGUGCUAAUACCGCAUAACAUAUGAGAGGGGCAUCCCUUUCAUAUCAAAGAUUUAUUGCUCUGAGAUGGCCUCGCGUCCAAUUAGCUAGUUGGUGAGGUAACGGCCCACCAAGGCGACGAUUGGUAGCCGGACUGAGAGGUUGAACGGCCACAUUGGGACUGAGACACGGCCCAGACUCCUACGGGAGGCAGCAGUGGGGAAUAUUGCACAAUGGGGGGAACCCUGAUGCAGCAAUGCCGCGUGAAGGAUGAAGGUUUUCGGAUUGUAAACUUCUUUUGUACGGGACGAAGAAAGUGACGGUACCGUAAGAAUAAGCCACGGCUAACUACGUGCCAGCAGCCGCGGUAAUACGUAGGUGGCAAGCGUUAUCCGGAUUUACUGGGUGUAAAGGGCGAGUAGGCGGGAUUGCAAGUCAGAUGUGAAAACUAUGGGCUCAACCGAUAGAGUGCAUUUGAAACUGCAGUUCUUGAGUGAUGGAGAGGCAGGCGGAAUUCCCGGUGUAGCGGUGGAAUGCGUAGAUAUCGGGAGGAACACCAGUGGCGAAGGCGGCCUGCUGGACAUUAACUG